CCUACGGGAGGCAGCAGUGGGGAAUAUUGGACAAUGGGCGAAAGCCUGAUCCAGCCAUGCCGCGUGUGUGAAGAAGGCCUUCGGGUUGUAAAGCACUUUCAGUGGGGAAGAAAGCCUUGGGGCUAAUACCCUCGAGGAAGGACAUCACCCACAGAAGAAGCACCGGCUAACUCCGUGCCAGCAGCCGCGGUAAUACGGAGGGUGCGAGCGUUAAUCGGAAUUACUGGGCGUAAAGCGCGCGUAGGCGGUCUGAUAAGCCGGUUGUGAAAGCCCCGGGCUCAACCUGGGAACGGCAUCCGGAACUGUCAGGCUAGAGUGCAGGAGAGGAAGGUAGAAUUCCCGGGGUAGCGGUGAAAUGCGUAGAGAUCGGGAGGAAGACCAGUGGCGAAGGCGGCAUUCUGGACUGACACUGACGCUGAGGUGCGAAAGCGUGGGUAGCAAACAGGAUUAGAUACCCCAGUAGUC
Molecule: ribosomal RNA, 465 nt
Filed under: Vreelandella stevensii
Lineage: Bacteria; Pseudomonadati; Pseudomonadota; Gammaproteobacteria; Oceanospirillales; Halomonadaceae
Description: partial 16S ribosomal RNA
Rfam family: Bacterial small subunit ribosomal RNA
Source: RNAcentral